RNAcentral lists this ribosomal RNA (253 nucleotides) under uncultured bacterium. RNAcentral's name for it is "partial 16S ribosomal RNA". It matches the Rfam family "Bacterial small subunit ribosomal RNA", at positions 524 to 776 of the family's 1533-position model. The record is from RNAcentral.
UACGGAGGGUGCAAGCGUUAAUCGGAAUUACUGGGCGUAAAGCGCGCGUAGGCGGCUCGAUCAGUCGGGUGUGAAAUCCCUGGGCUCAACCUGGGAACUGCAUUCGAUACUGUCGAGCUAGAGUGUGGGAGAGGGUAGUGGAAUUCCCGGUGUAGCGGUGAAAUGCGUAGAUAUCGGGAGGAACAUCAGUGGCGAAGGCGACUGCCUGGCCCAACACUGACGCUGAGGUGCGAAAGCGUGGGUAGCAAACAGG